CCUACUGGAGGCAGCAGUGGGGAAUAUUGGGCAAUGGGCGCAAGCCUGCCCCAGCAACGCCGCGUGAAGGAAGAAGGCUUUCGGGUUGUAAACUUCUUUUGUCAGGGAAGAGUAGAAGACGGUACCUGACGAAUAAGCCACGGCUAACUACGUGCCAGCAGCCGCGGUAAUACGUAGGUGGCAAGCGUUGUCCGGAUUUACUGGGUGUAGAGGGCGUGUAGACGGGUUGACAAGUCAGAUGUGAAAUCCUGCGGCUUAACCGCAGAACUGCAUUUGAUACUGUUGAUCUUGAGUACUGGAGAGGCAGGCGGAAUUCCUAGUGUAGCGGUGAAAUGCGUAGAUAUUAGGAGGAACACCAGUGGCGAAGGCGGUCUGCUGGACAGCAACUGACGUUGAGGCGCGAAAGCGUGGGGAGCAAACAGGAUUAGAUACCCCUGUAGUC
Molecule: ribosomal RNA, 442 nt
Filed under: uncultured bacterium
Lineage: Bacteria
Description: partial 16S ribosomal RNA
Rfam family: Bacterial small subunit ribosomal RNA
Source: RNAcentral